RNAcentral lists this ribosomal RNA (715 nucleotides) under Escherichia coli. Its description in RNAcentral is "bacterial SSU rRNA". It matches the Rfam family "Bacterial small subunit ribosomal RNA", at positions 1 to 705 of the family's 1533-position model. The record is from RNAcentral. Lineage: Bacteria; Pseudomonadati; Pseudomonadota; Gammaproteobacteria; Enterobacterales; Enterobacteriaceae.
AAAUUGAAGAGUUUGAUCAUGGCUCAGAUUGAACGCUGGCGGCAGGCCUAACACAUGCAAGUCGAACGGUAACAGGAAGAAGCUUGCUUCUUUGCUGACGAGUGGCGGACGGGUGAGUAAUGUCUGGGAAACUGCCUGAUGGAGGGGGAUAACUACUGGAAACGGUAGCUAAUACCGCAUAACGUCGCAAGACCAAAGAGGGGGACCUUCGGGCCUCUUGCCAUCGGAUGUGCCCAGAUGGGAUUAGCUAGUAGGUGGGGUAAAGGCUCACCUAGGCGACGAUCCCUAGCUGGUCUGAGAGGAUGACCAGCCACACUGGAACUGAGACACGGUCCAGACUCCUACGGGAGGCAGCAGUGGGGAAUAUUGCACAAUGGGCGCAAGCCUGAUGCAGCCAUGCCGCGUGUAUGAAGAAGGCCUUCGGGUUGUAAAGUACUUUCAGCGGGGAGGAAGGGAGUAAAGUUAAUACCUUUGCUCAUUGACGUUACCCGCAGAAGAAGCACCGGCUAACUCCGUGCCAGCAGCCGCGGUAAUACGGAGGGUGCAAGCGUUAAUCGGAAUUACUGGGCGUAAAGCGCACGCAGGCGGUUUGUUAAGUCAGAUGUGAAAUCCCCGGGCUCAACCUGGGAACUGCAUCUGAUACUGGCAAGCUUGAGUCUCGUAGAGGGGGGUAGAAUUCCAGGUGUAGCGGUGAAAUGCGUAGAGAUCUGGAGGA